Molecule: ribosomal RNA, 502 nt
Filed under: uncultured bacterium
Lineage: Bacteria
Description: bacterial SSU rRNA
Rfam family: Bacterial small subunit ribosomal RNA
Source: RNAcentral
UGAACGCUGGCGGCGUGCUUAACACAUGCAAGUCGUACGAGAAAGCUUCUGCUUGCAGAGGCGAGUAAAGUGGCGCACGGGUGAGUAACACGUGGGUAAUCUACCUCCGAAUUGGGGAUAACAUUGCGAAAGCGAUGCUAAUACCGGAUAAUAUCGCUGAAUUUUCGGAUUUUGCGAUCAAAGGUGGCCUCUCCAUGGAAGCUUCUGUUCGGAGAUGAGCCCGCGUCCCAUUAGCUUGUUGGUAGGGUAAUGGCCUACCAAGGCUACGAUGGGUAGCUGGUCUGAGAGGAUGAUCAGCCACACUGGAACUGACACACGGUCCAGACUCCUACGGGAGGCAGCAGUGAGGAAUUUUGCGCAAUGGGGGAAACCCUGACGCAGCAACGCCGCGUGAGUGAUGAAGGCUUUCGGGUCGUAAAGCUCUGUCAAGUGAGAAGAAAUCAUAAGAUGUUAAUAUCAUUUUAUGUUGACGGUAUCACUGAAGGAAGCACCGGCUAACUCC